CCUUCGAUAGCUCAGUUGGUAGAGCGGAGGACUGUAGUGGUUGAGCAGAGAUCCUUAGGUCGCUGGUUCAAAUCCGGCUCGAAGGA
RNAcentral lists this transfer RNA (86 nucleotides) under Gasterosteus aculeatus (three-spined stickleback). It matches the Rfam family "tRNA". From Rfam's summary of the family: Transfer RNA (tRNA) molecules are approximately 80 nucleotides in length. Their secondary structure includes four short double-helical elements and three loops (D, anti-codon, and T loops). Lineage: Eukaryota; Metazoa; Chordata; Actinopteri; Perciformes; Gasterosteidae. The record is from Rfam by way of RNAcentral.